GAGUUUGAUCCUGGCUCAGAACGAACGUUGGCGGCAGGCCUAACACAUGCAAGUCGAGCGAGGACUUCGGUCCUAGCGGCGGACGGGUGAGUAACGCGUGGGAACGUGCCCUUUGGUUCGGAAUAGCCCUGGGAAACUGGGAGUAAUACCGGAUGAGCUCUUCGGAGGAAAGAUUUAUCGCCAAAGGAUCGGCCCGCGUUGGAUUAGGUAGUUGGUGGGGUAAUGGCCUACCAAGCCGACGAUCCAUAGCUGGUUUGAGAGGAUGAUCAGUCACACUGGAACUGAGACACGGUCCAGACUCCUACGGGAGGCAGCAGUAGGGAAUAUUGGACAAUGGGCGCAAGCCUGAUCCAGCCAUGCCGCGUGAGUGAAGAAGGCCCUCGGGUUGUAAAGCUCUUUUGUCCGGAAAGAAAAGCGCCGGGUUAAUACCCUGGUGUCCUGAUGGUACCGGAAGAAUAAGCACCGGCUAACUUCGUGCCAGCAGCCGCGGUAAUACGAAGGGUGCAAGCGUUACUCGGAAUUACUGGGCGUAAAGCGUGCGCAGGCGGUCAUGCAAGACAGAUGUGAAAUCCCCGGGCUUAACCUGGGAACUGCAUUUGUGACUGCAUGGCUGGAGUGCGGCAGAGGGGGAUGGAAUUCCGCGUGUAGCAGUGAAAUGCGUAGAUAUGCGGAGGAACACCGAUGGCGAAAGCAAUCCCCUGGGCCUGCACUGACGCUCAUGCACGAAAGCGUGGGGAGCAAACAGGAUUAGAUACCCUGGUAGUCCACGCCCUAAACGAUGUCAACUGGUUGUUGGACGGCUUGCUGUUCAGUAACGAAGCUAACGCGUGAAGUUGACCGCCUGGGGAGUACGGCCGCAAGGUUGAAACUCAAAGGAAUUGACGGGGACCCGCACAAGCGGUGGAUGAUGUGGUUUAAUUCGAUGCAACGCGAAAAACCUUACCUACCCUUGACAUGUCAAGAAUCUUGCAGAGAUGUGAGAGUGCUCGAAAGAGAACUUGAACACAGGUGCUGCAUGGCCGUCGUCAGCUCGUGUCGUGAGAUGUUGGGUUAAGUCCCGCAACGAGCGCAACCCUUGCCAUUAGUUGCUACGAAAGGGCACUCUAAUGGGACUGCCGGUGACAAACCGGAGGAAGGUGGGGAUGACGUCAGGUCCUCGUGGCCCUUAUGGGUAGGGCUACACACGUCAUACAAUGGCCGGUACAGAGGGCUGCCAACCCGCGAGGGGGAGCUAAUCCCAGAAAACCGGUCGUAGUCCGGAUCGCAGUCUGCAACUCGACUGCGUGAAGUCGGAAUCGCUAGUAAUCGCGGAUCAGCUUGCCGCGGUGAAUACGUUCCCGGGUCUUGUACACACCGCCCGUCACACCAUGGGAGCGGGUUCUGCCAGAAGUAGUUAGCCUAACCGCAAGGAGGGCGAUUACCACGGCAGGGUUCGUGACUGGGGUGAAGUCGUAACAAGGUAGCCGUAUCGGAAGGUGCGGCUGGAUCACCUCCUUUCUA
This 1500-nucleotide ribosomal RNA is filed under the name uncultured bacterium. RNAcentral describes it as "partial 16S ribosomal RNA". It matches the Rfam family "Bacterial small subunit ribosomal RNA". The record is from RNAcentral.